UUAUUUGUGGCCAUACAGUUGUCCCAGCAUGUGUUUUAAAAACUACAAUCGGAAGAAAUUCAGAUCCAAAUCGCAACAAAGGAUACAGAAAAACAAGACAACGACAACAGAAUGCAAGACACAGGUUUCAAAGUCCAAUAAGCGAAAACAACACUAAUCUCAACUGGGAAGCGUCAACACUCCACCAACCAAACCAACUUUUCUUUUCCCAAAGAACCCACAAAGCAAAAAAAGUUUCAGCUUCGAAUAAGGAAAGCCCAAAAGGGGUCAUUCAGCAAGUUCCAUUACAUGCGGAAAAGGAAGCGCAAAACCAGCCUGGCAGAGGCAGACCCUCAAAUUUCUGCAAGUACCUG
This 353-nucleotide long non-coding RNA is filed under the name Eucalyptus grandis. RNAcentral describes it as "long non-coding RNA (EGRA_LNC007775)". Lineage: Eukaryota; Viridiplantae; Streptophyta; Magnoliopsida; Myrtales; Myrtaceae. The record is from RNAcentral.